RNAcentral lists this ribosomal RNA (692 nucleotides) under uncultured Planctomycetota bacterium. RNAcentral's name for it is "bacterial SSU rRNA". It matches the Rfam family "Bacterial small subunit ribosomal RNA", at positions 790 to 1470 of the family's 1533-position model. The record is from RNAcentral. Lineage: Bacteria; Pseudomonadati; Planctomycetota.
GUAGUCCACGCCGUAAACGAUGCGCACUAGGUAUGAGAGGCUCUGACGCCGAUCGUGCCGCAGACAAAUUGAUAAGUGCGCCGCCUGGGGAGUACGGCCGCAAGGCUAAAACUCAAAGGAAUUGACGGGGGCUCACACAAGCGGUGGAGCAUGUGGAUUAAUUCGAAGCAACGCGAAGAACCUUACCUGGGUUUGACAUGUACGGAUGCCCUUCUGGAAACAGGAGUAAGUUACCUUCGGGUGAAACGUACACAGGUGCUGCAUGGCUGUCGUCAGCUCGUGCUGUGAAGUGUCGGGUUAAGUCCCUCAACGAGCGAAACCCCUAUCACUAGUUACCAGCGGGUCAAGCCGGGGACUCUAGUGAGACCGCCGGCGUCAAGCCGGAGGAAGGUGGGGACGACGUCAAGUCAUCAUGGCCUUUAUGUCCAGGGUGUCGCACGUGCUACAAUGGCUACUACAAAGCGAAGCGAGACCGCGAGGUGGAGCAAAUCGCAAAAAGGUAGCCUCAGUUCGGAUUGGAGUCUGCAACUCGACUCCAUGAAGUUGGAAUCGCUAGUAAUCGCGCAUCAGCCAUGGCGCGGUGAAUGUGUUCCUGAGCCUUGUACACACCGCCCGUCAAGUCAUGGGAGCUGGGAGUACCCGAAGUCCGUUUAGCUAACCCGCAAGGGAGGCGGCGGCCGACGGUAAACCCG